This is a long non-coding RNA of Oncorhynchus keta (chum salmon), 520 nucleotides long. RefSeq lists it as uncharacterized. The transcript has 4 exons. Lineage: Eukaryota; Metazoa; Chordata; Actinopteri; Salmoniformes; Salmonidae. The record is from RefSeq and is a predicted model, not a curated record.
CAGUAUACUGUAGGUAGGGGUAAAGGAUAGAUAAUAGACAGUAACAGUAGUAUACUGUAGGUAGGGGUAAAGGAUAGAUAAUAGACAGUAACAGUAGUAUACUGUAGGUAGGGGUAAAGGAUAGAUAAUAGACAGUAACAGCAGUAUACUGUAGGUAGGGGUAAAGGAUAGAUAAUAGACAGUAACAGCAGUAUACUGUAGGUAGGGGUAAAGGAUAGAUAAUAGACAGUAACAGCAGUAUACUGUAGGUUGGGGUAAAGGAUAGAUAAUAGACAGUAACAGCAGUAUACUGUAGGUUGGGGUAAAGGAUAGAUAAUAGACAGUAACAGCAGUAUACUGUAGGUAGGGGUAAAGGAUAGAUAAUAGACAGUAACAGCAGUAUACUGUAGGUUGGGGUAAAGGAUAGAUAAUAGACAGUAACAGCAGUAUACUGUAGGUUGGGGUAAAGGAUAGAUAAUAGACAGUAACAGCAGUAUACUGUAGGUAGGGGUAAAGGACAGAUAAUAGACAGUAACAGCAU